This 549-nucleotide ribosomal RNA is filed under the name uncultured Glomerales. RNAcentral's name for it is "SSU rRNA". It matches the Rfam family "Eukaryotic small subunit ribosomal RNA", at positions 548 to 1098 of the family's 1831-position model. The record is from RNAcentral. Lineage: Eukaryota; Fungi; Glomeromycota; Glomeromycetes; Glomerales; Glomeraceae.
UUGGAGGGCAAGUCUGGUGCCAGCAGCCGCGGUAAUUCCAGCUCCAAUAGCGUAUAUUAAAGUUGUUGCAGUUAAAAAGCUCGUAGUUGAAUUUCGGGGUCAGUAGAUUGGUCAUGCCACUGGUAUGUACUGGUCUCACUGAUUCCUCCUUCCUGAUGAGCCGUAAUGCCAUUAAUUUGGUGUUGCGGGGAAUCUGGACUGUUACUUUGAAAAAAUUAGAGUGUUUAAAGCAGGCUAACGCUUGAAUACAUUAGCAUGGAAUAAUGAAAUAGGACGUUCGAUCUUAUUUUGUUGGUUUCUAAGAUUGACGUAAUGAUUAAUAGGGAUAGUUGGGGGCAUUAGUAUUCAAUUGUCAGAGGUGAAAUUCUUGGAUUUAUUGAAGACUAACUACUGCGAAAGCAUUUGCCAAGGAUGUUUUCAUUAAUCAAGAACGAAAGUUAGGGGAUCGAAGACGAUCAGAUACCGUCGUAGUCUUAACCAUAAACUAUGCCGACUAGGGAUCGGAUGAUGUUAAUUUUUUAAUGACUCAUUCGGCGCCUUACGGGAAAC